RNAcentral lists this unclassified non-coding RNA (348 nucleotides) under soil metagenome. RNAcentral describes it as "partial contains 5.8S ribosomal RNA, internal transcribed spacer 2, and large subunit ribosomal RNA". The stretch from base 1 to 120 matches the Rfam family "5.8S ribosomal RNA", at positions 35 to 154 of the family's 154-position model. The record is from RNAcentral.
GAUGAAGAACGCAGCGAAAUGCGAUAAGUAAUGUGAAUUGCAGAAUUCAGUGAAUCAUCGAGUCUUUGAACGCACAUUGCGCCCCCUGGUAUUCCGGGGGGCAUGCCUGUCCGAGCGUCAUUGCCGCCCUCAAGCACGGCUUGUGUGUUGGGCCCCCGCCCCCCGGCUUCGGGGGGCGGGCCCGAAAGGCAGCGGCGGCACCGCGUCCGGUCCUCGAGCGUAUGGGGCUUCGUCACCCGCUCUGUAGGCCCGGCCGGCGCCCGCCGGCGACCCCAAUCAAUCUUUCCAGGUUGACCUCGAAUCAGGUAGGAAUACCCGCUGAACUUAAGCAUAUCAAUAAGCGGAGGA